CUUAAUUGCAUCAUUCAAGUUUGGGGCACUUUAGAGAGACUGCCGGUGUUAGGCCGGAGAAGGUGGGAUGACGUCAAGUCCUCAUGGCCUUUAUGUCUAGGGCUACACACGUGCUACAAUGGGUGGUACAAAGAGCAGCUAACUCGCGAGAGUAUGCAAAUCUCAAAAAGCCAUCCUCAGUUCGGAUUGGAGUCUGCAACUCGACUCCAUGAAGUUGGAAUCGCUAGUAAUCGCGGAUCAGCAUGCCGCGGUGAAUUACCGGUUCCCGGGCCUU
This 274-nucleotide ribosomal RNA is filed under the name uncultured Smithella sp. Its description in RNAcentral is "partial 16S ribosomal RNA". It matches the Rfam family "Bacterial small subunit ribosomal RNA", at positions 1110 to 1382 of the family's 1533-position model. The record is from RNAcentral. Lineage: Bacteria; Pseudomonadati; Thermodesulfobacteriota; Syntrophia; Syntrophales; Smithellaceae.